This 1426-nucleotide long non-coding RNA is filed under the name Homo sapiens (human). RNAcentral describes it as "non-protein coding lnc-ZNF146-2:1". Lineage: Eukaryota; Metazoa; Chordata; Mammalia; Primates; Hominidae. The record is from RNAcentral.
AGCGCUCCCCAACCAAGGACAACGGCCUCCCAGGCGCUCAUCGUCCACCCGCAGGAGGGUGCGAAGAGGCGGAGGCAAGCCCACCGCUCCUGACAUUGGCCUUCUAGGAAAGGCGGUGUUGCAUCCCACCUGCACUUCCUCUCUGAUUCUUGAGGGCCAACCGCUUCCUCCGCUCCUGGGGAAAGUGCCUUCUUUUCCCUCUCCACACCUCUUUCUGGAUGAUUGGGCAGCUGUGGUGAUCCUGGAGCUCUGGGCUUCCAUACCUGUGUGGGACAGGGAAGCUCCGGGGGAGUCGGCCUCGCCAGCGCGCAUGCGCGAGGCCCGAGCCGCCGCUUGGGUCACAGUGAAAGCCACCGUUGCCCGGGGAUGGGUCCCUGACACUUGGGGAAGUAGGAGCCCUGUGUGAUCGUGCGUCUGAGUCUGGGCUGAGACCAGUCCUGGCCAGGGCAGUUACCAGGACGGUCUCCGGAGGCCGGGAUUCGCGGAGGGUCCAGCAGCAGGAAGAAACCCCAGGAGGAAGAAACCUCAGACAGAUCGCCGGCGAGGCAGCGCGGGAUCCCAGCCUCAGGCGUGCGCGGACGGUGUGCGGGUGAGUCUCCCCAAAAGUGGAGCCCUUGUGAUGACGAGCACAGGUCCGCCUGCGUGCCCGUGGGCUGCUCUCUCACCGGUGGCUCUCAGUCGCGGAGAGCAGAACCCGGCAGCUUCAGGGGCUGCCUGCGGGAGGGUGUUCCCUGCUGUACGUGUGUGUUCGUCAUGGGUGUGUGUGUGUGUGUGUUGGGGGGGGUGCGUCUGUGUGUGUGUCUGUGUGUGUGCGCGCGCAGUGCCUGUCUGUGUGCCGACUUCUGUCUCUCUCUCACGUCUCUCUCUCUCUCUCUCUCUCUCUCUCUCUCUCUCUGUCUCCCUUCUCGCUCUUUCCGUGGCCCUCUCUUUCUGUCUCUGUCCGUCUGUGUGUGCGUGCGCCUCGGGACACAUGUGCCCUGUGCGCCGGAGGGUGGGUUUCUUGCACGUCGGCCUUUCUUCUGGUCAGCCUCUCCCCGCGUCUCUGCCUGGGUCGUGUGGCCGGUUGGCAGUCGUCGUCCCGGCGGUUCCAGUUUGGGGGUCUGUGAAGGCCUGGGCAACGUGGGCAUCGGCGUCGGACCCGCAGGGGUUUUCAUCCCCUCCCCAUCCGGAGCAGCCUCUUUGCUAGGCUGGAUCCAGACGAGCGCUCCCCAACCAAGGACAACGGCCUCCCAGGCGCUCAUCGUCCACCCGCAGGAGGGUGCCCGCAGAGCUUCAAGAAGGUGGUUGUCACGCCUGUCGCCCUCUGCCCUCAUCGAGAAAUGUAGCCACAGCUCGACGCAGGGACGGAGAAGGAAGCCGGCAAGGGGAUGGGGCAAGCAUGUCUGUCUCUCAAAGGCUGGCCUUCCUGGCCGAGUCACCCGUUUGA